GGGCAGGUGCCAGAGUGGACAAUUGGACCUGGCUGUAAACCAGGCGCGUAAGCUUCGGGGGUUCGAAUCCCUCCCUGCCCA
This 81-nucleotide transfer RNA is filed under the name Chloroflexota bacterium. RNAcentral describes it as "tRNA-Tyr". It matches the Rfam family "tRNA". Rfam says of the family: Transfer RNA (tRNA) molecules are approximately 80 nucleotides in length. Their secondary structure includes four short double-helical elements and three loops (D, anti-codon, and T loops). Further hydrogen bonds mediate the characteristic L-shaped molecular structure. tRNAs have two regions of fundamental functional importance: the anti-codon, which is responsible for specific mRNA codon recognition, and the 3' end, to which the tRNAs corresponding amino acid is attached (by aminoacyl-tRNA synthetases). tRNAs cope with the degeneracy of the genetic code in two manners: having more than one tRNA (with a specific anti-codon) for a particular amino acid; and 'wobble' base-pairing, i.e. permitting non-standard base-pairing at the 3rd anti-codon position. The record is from RNAcentral. Lineage: Bacteria; Bacillati; Chloroflexota.